Molecule: long non-coding RNA, 7084 nt
Filed under: Panicum hallii
Lineage: Eukaryota; Viridiplantae; Streptophyta; Magnoliopsida; Poales; Poaceae
Description: long non-coding RNA (PHAL_LNC000637)
Source: RNAcentral
GUUUUUCAGAACUUACGCUUGUUUCCAUGCAUGUGUUAUUGAUUAGGAACAAUGGAGAGGAUCAGUAAGGACUUGGAGAAGGCCAAGGACUCAAGGAGGAGGAGCUAGGACGUCCACACCAAGGACAAGUGCAUGUCCAACUCGACUUCGAUUCCAACUCGGAUUCCAGAACCUUACUUCACCAAAACUGAUGCUCUGGCCAUAUAUGGAGUCGGAUUUGGACGUUCUAUAUAUGGUUGGAACCAGAAUUUCAUAGACCUUCCAAUGGCACCGGUCCCACCUCAAAAUUCCUUCUGAGUCGACGGGAAUCGUCGACACAAGUGGGCAUCCAGAAUCUGACAGGGUGCUCUGCCACCGUCUUUUGGGCCGUUGGCCCGUGUACCAUGUUGAAGCCCGUUAGGGUUGUGUCCAGGGGACUUGCAUGCCCCUAACUCCCUUUUAUUCAGUAGCCGUCGCCACUUUAGGGUUUGGGUUUUGCUUAGAUUCAUUCUGUCAUCAAACAGUGUCACCGUUCAUCGGUUUGUGAGACCCUAUCUCGUAAUCAAGUCUGUUUGAUUGCAUCUCCUGUUCUUGCUUGUGUUCUUGAUUGCGCUUGCAGGGAUAAGCCUUUGUGGCGAGGUCAUUCGUGUGACACGGGUGAUAACCAACGGAGCAGUGGUGUAGUGAUUGCGGGGUUCUGUUCGUUCGGAGCCUUGGAUCAUCAACGUUGAGUUCUCCCCCAAUCAAGUUUACCGUACCUCUCGGAAGAUCGGGACUCAACCUCCUAUCAAGUGGUAUAAGUUAUCAGGUUGCCCGUAAGGUAUACUCAUGUGCCUUUAGAUUUAUUUUGUUUUCAUCCUAUAGUCCACAAAAAGCUAAAUAAAUUGUUACUCGUUCCAACCUACAACCCUCGCUCGGCCUUUUGCACAACUUAGUUUCGGAGUCCGUAGUUCUGAGUUCGUGUCCUAGCUUGAGUUUGGUUGCUGGUUUAGAUUUGUUUUAGUUCAGUUUUGUUUAUUCCAUCCGCUGCUAUCCACACAAACAAAAAAAAUCAAUCUACAGAAACUUUUCCAUCCACCACCGAUCCAUCUAUUCGUAUCCAAAUCAGUUUCCACCGCCACAAACCCUAAUUUGGAGAGUCCUCCUUAAAUCGGACAUAACUUUUCGCUCGGAACUCCGAUUGAGGUGAAUUUUUUUUCCGGAAAGCUCUUGAAAAGUUGCACAUAUGAUUCCCCCGCUACGCCGGGUUCAGCGUUCUCAAAAAAAUUAAAAAAAUCAGGAAGGCACUUGAUUCGGGCUACGAAGUUCCAGCACCAGUUUUCCCAAACGCUCCUGAAAUUGUACCGAUCAUAUCUUUCAUCGGUUUGAGCUGAUAUUUGGUGUUGUUCACUCUCUUGUGCCCCUAGUUGAGCAAAAAUAUCAAAAAAAAUAAAAGCAAAAAAAUAAAAAUUUGAUUCCUACUAGUGCUAAAAGACAAAACAGGAGGAAUUUGCUGUUUUCUAUGUGCAUUGUUGGAUACAUGCUGGUACUGCCUUUGUGGCUCAUCAUCUUUGAUCCUUAUUCCUUGCUUGCUGCCACAACUGUUCUAAUACAUUUUUAGGCCAGCAACUAGGUCAAGUUCUUUGGACACUUAUUCAGCAUUGCUAUCUGUUACUAACUUGUGUGCCACAUACAUAUACUGCACUUGAGCCUUCCCAAGCUCCACCUUCUCCCGAGCAGAACAGGUACCCUGUGCAAUCACACCCACUCUCUUCGUGUUGUCAUACCGGUCACCGUUUGCCACCUACAGUGCUGGUAGGACACUCGUAAGAGCGGGGUAAGACGCAUCUUACUACUUGUUUUUCCACUUCCACUUCAAUGAGUAUAGUCGUAGGGUUCACAACCUUUUGCCUUCGUUUCUGUUUUGUUCUAACUAUGACAGGAAAGGUGCCGAUGGACGAGACCUCUCCUUCUACACUUCCGGAUGAUACUGAGUGCUUGUCACAUAUGGAACUAAAAGACAUGAUGCGGGCGAUGACUGACGCUUUCAACAAAUACCAGACAACUACAACAACCACCUUUUAGAGGAUUCAUACAAGUGUUGAUGGUCUUGCCGCACGACUGGAUGCCGUGGAGGCUCGUUUUCCACACCAUGAUCCACCCCCCCAUCGUCCCUGCUGCCGGCGGCCUUGCCCACAACGACACAGAGGACGAGUUCAACGAUGAUGAGGUUGAUGCACAGCAGCGCCGUCGCCUUCUGCGUAAUCGUCAAGGUAUGGGAGGUAAUGGUAGACGUCGUCCUCAUGCUCCUGAGCAAGAUAAUGAUCCUUAUGCUAAGAUUAAGUUUUCUAUUCCACCAUUUUAUGGAUCUUAUGAUGCUGAGACUUACUUGGAUUGGGAGAUGACGGUAGAAUAGAAAUUUAGUUCCCAUCUAGUUCCAGAGUGUCAUAGAGUUAGACAAGCCACUAGUGAGUUUAAAGAUUUUGCUAUCAUUUGGUGGAAUGAACUUGUCACUGCACGUAAUGCCCCACAGACAUGGACUGCGUUAAAAGAAGAGAUGCAUGCUAAUUCGUAAGAAAUUAUAACGCUUUGAUCAGGGUAACAUGUCUGUCCAAGAGUACUACCAAGAGUUGCAGAAGUGUAUGCUUCGUUGUGGGGUAGUUGAGGAUCAGGAAGACCAGAUUGUUAGGUUUUAUGGGAGUUUGCAGCGUGAGAUCCAGGACAUAGUUGAUUAUAAGGAAUAUCAUUCUAUACAACAUUUGUUUCAACUUGCUAUGUUGGCAGAAAAACAACUGCAGGGUCAUCAACAGCAACGGCGGAACAACACCUUCACGCCACGGCAGUUUCCGGCGCCAGCCAAAGCGGCACCCUCUGCGGCCACACCUCCCUCCACCGGUGUUUUACGCGGCACUACACCUUCAACUUCCAAGGGACACGAUAGCAGCAAGUCCCAGACGCCUCCUGGUGUUGCGGCAAAGGCUCACACUUCCACUGGUCGCACAUCCGACAUCAAGUGCCACCGCUGCUAGGGAUUUGGCCAUCUGCAGCGCGAUUGCCCUAGCAAACGGACCAUCAUUGCUACUGUCGAUGGUGGGUAUGCUAGUGCUUCUGAUAUUGAAGAUGAACACAUUAUUGCAGCUAACAUUUCAGGGUCCGAUGACGGCGUUGAGGAGGUUCUUGGUACAUCUGCGACCAACAAUUACAGGACCUUAAUUGUGCACCGAGCUUUGAGCGCCACGGUGGGAGAGGACGACCAACGCCAACGUCACAACCUUUUCAACAUGUUUCUUGUCGUCAAGGACUGCUGUGUGCAUACAAUCAUUGACGGAGGUAGCUGCAACAAUUUGGUGAAUGUUGAGGUGGUCAAGAAGCUUGGCUUUACCACGCGGGAGCAUCCACAUCCUUAUCACAUUCAAUGGUUCAACAACAACGGUAAGGUAAAGGUAAUAAAAACAGUAAGGAUACAUUUUUCAAUUGGGUCUUACCAUGACUUUACUGAUUUUGAUGUGGUGCCUAUGGAUGCUUGCUCUCUUUUGUUGGGACAUCCUUGGGAGUUUGAUGCUGAUGCUAUUCACUAUGGUAGAUCUAAUAAGUAUACUCUCAUGCAUAAGGGCAACAAAAUUGUGUUGCUGCCAAUGACUCCCACUGAAAUUGUGCAAUUUGAGACUGAGAAAAAGAAUAAUGCUAAACAAAAGGGUGUUUUCAAUUCGGAAAAUCAGCAGCCUAAGUUAAACAAUCCUGUUUUGUUGGCAACUAAAUCCGAUCUUGAUGAGUUAUCUGCCUCUACUGGACCUUGCUAUGCUUUAGUGUGCAAAUAUGCUUUAUAUUCCAUUGAGGUCACGUCCAUUGCUUUGGCACCUGCUAUUGCUAACCUUUUGCAGGAGUAUAUGCAUGUCUUUCCAUCGGAGCUACCCCCCGGAUUACCACCUGUGCGAGGCAUUGAGCACAAGAUUGAUUUGAUUCCAGGGGCGAGCUUGCCAAACCGUGCCGCCUACAGGACCAACCCCGAUGAGACUAAGGAAAUUCAGCGGCAAGUCCAGGCCCUUCUGGACCACGGGUACAUUCGUGAGAGCCUUAGUUCUUGUUCUGUUCCUGUUCUUUUGGUUCCUAAGAAAGAGCCUUAGUUCUUGUUCUGUUCCUGUUCUUUUGGUUCCUAAGAAAGAUGGCAUUUGGCGCAUGUGUGUUGAUUGUCGAGCCAUCAAUAACAUUACCAUUUGAUAUCGCUAUCCUAUUCCUCGUUUGGAUGAUAUGCUUGAUGAGCUGAGUGGUUUUGUUGUUUUCUCCAAGAUUGAUUUACGUAGUGGAUAUCAUCAGAUUCGUAUGGCUUUAGGGGAUGAAUGGAAAACUGCCUUUAAAACCAAGUUCGGUCUUUAUGAAUGGUUAGUCAUGCCUUUUGGUUUAACUAAUGCGCCCAGCACUUUUAUGAGAUUGUUGAACGAGGUUUUACGUGCUUUCAUUGGCAAAUUUGUGAUGGUUUAUUUUGAUGAUAUCCUUGUUUACAGCAAGUCAUAUGAGGCACAUCUUGAACAUUUGCAUGCUGUUUUUAAUAUCUUGCGCGAUGCACGUUUGUUUGGUAACCUUGAGAAGUGCACCUUUUGCACCGAUCAUGUGUCUUUUCUUGGUUAUGUUGUUACAUCACAGGGCAUUGAGGUGGACGAGGCAAAGAUUGUUGCCAUCACAAGCUGGCCACUUCCGACUACGGUCACGCAGGUUCGAAGUCUUCUUGGUCUUGCAGGUUUUUACCGGCGUUUCGUGCGGGAUUUCAGCACCAUUGCAGCACCUCUCCACGGGUUCACAAAGAAGGCGUGCCGUUUCAAUGGGGACCAGCUCAACAACAAGCUUUUGAGACUCUCAAAUUGAAGCUCACACAAGCACCAUUGCUGCAACUUCCUGAUUUUGAGAAGACCUUCGAGCUUGAGUGUGAUGCAAGCGGGAUUGGCAUUGGAGGAGUGCUCAUACAAGGAGGUAAACCUGUUGCUUUCUUUAGUGAAAAAUUGCAUGGUCCUUCGCUGAAUUAUUCUGCAUAUGACAAAGAACUCUAUGCUUUAGUGCGAGUUUUACAAACUUGGCAGCAUUAUCUGUGGUCUAAAGAAUUUUUCAUACAUUCGGAUCAUGAAUCUUUGAAGUACCUUAAAGGGCAAGCUAAUCUGAACAAACGUCAUGCUAAAUGGAUUGAGUUUAUAGAGUCAUUUCCUUACAUCAUUAAACAUAAGAAAGGAAAAGACAAUGUGAUUGCUGAUGCUUUAUCUAGACGUUAUACCAUGCUGUCCCAACUUUCUCAUAAAAUCUUUGGCUUAGAGACCAUAAAGGGAUUAUAUGCUACUGAUUUGGACUUCAAAGAUGCUUUUGCAAAUUGUAGAGAGGGAAGAACGUGGCAAAAAUUUCUGCUGCGUGAAGGCCUUCUCUACCGUGCUAACAAGCUGUGUGUUCCAGCUAUCUCCGUUCAUCUUUUGCUGUUGCAGGAGGCGCAUGGCGGUGGUUUGAUGGGAUAUUUUGGUGUUAAAAAGACGGAGGACGUGUUGGCCGCUCACUUCUUUUGGCCACGGAUGCGGCGUGAUGUGGAGCGCUACGUCUCGCGUUGCUCCACAUGCAACAAAGCUAAGUCUCGACUUAAUCCACAUGGUCUUUAUAUGCCUCUUCCUAUUCCUCGUGCACCUUGGGAGGAUAUUUCUAUGGACUUUGUUUUAGGAUUACCUAGAACAAAGAGAGGGAGGGAUAGUAUUUUUGUGGUUGUUGAUCAUUUCUCAAAAAUAGCACAUUUUAUACCCUGUCACAAGACAGACAAUGCUUCACAUGUUGCUGAUUUAUUCUUUAAUGAGGUUGUGCGUUUGCAUGGUGUACCAAAUACUAUUGUUUCUGAUAGGGAUGCUAAAUUUUUGAGCCAUUUUUGGAGAACUUUAUGGUAUAAAUUGGGAACAAAGUUGCUAUUUUCUACUACUUGUCAUCCACAAACUAAUGGGCAAACGGAGGUAGUUAAUCGUACCUUGUCUACUAUGUUGCGGGCUGUUUUGAAAGAUAAUUUGAGGUUGUGGAAGGAGUGUUUGCCACAUAUUGAGUUUGCCUAUAACAGAUCUAUUCACUCCACAAUAAAGUUAAGUCCGUUUAUGGUAGUAUAUGGUUUCAAUCCUCGUGCUCCAAUUGAUUUUCUACCGUUACCACCUUCUGAAAUUGUGAACUUAGAUGCUACACAACGCUCUGAAUUUAUUCUUAAGUUGCAUGAAACUACUAAUUUGCAAAUUGAAAAAAUGAAUGAAAAGUAUCGAAUUGCUGCCAUUAAAGGAAGGAAGGAGGUAAAAUUGGAACCCGGUAAUUUGGUGUGGGUUCAUUUGAGAAAAGAUAGGUUUCCGCAUUUGCGAAAGUCCAAGCUCAUGCCACGUGCCGCUGGACCUUUUAAGGUUCUUGAGAAGAUAAAUGACAAUGCAUAUAAACUUGAGUUGCCCCCCAAGUUUGGGAGAUAAACUUGAGAGAUGAUGAGGACAUCUCUCCUUUGCAUACAAUGCAAGGACCGAUCACUAGAGCACGUGCGCGACAGUUGGAUCUCCAGGUACGUUCUAACCUUGUCAAUUGUUUUUCAGAACUUACGCUUGGUUCCAUGCAUGUGUUAUUGAUUAGGAACAAUGGAGAGGAUCAGUAAGGACUUGGAGAAGGCCAAGGACUCAAGGAGGAGGAGCUAGGACGUCCACACCAAGGAGGAGUCCAUGUCCAACUCGACUUCGAUUCCAACUCGGAUUCCAGAACCUUACUUCACUAAAACUGACGCCCUGGCCACAUACGGAGUUGGAUUUGGAUGUUCUAUAUAUGGUUGGAACCAGAAUUUCAUAGAGCUUACAAUAGCACUAAUCCCACCUCAAAAUUCCUUCUAAGUCGACAGGAAUCGUCAACACAAGUGGGCGUCCAGAAUCUGACAGGGUGCUGUGCCACCGUCUUUUAGGCCGUUGGCCCGUGUACCAUGUUGAAACCCGUUAGGGUUGUGUCUAGGGGACUUGCACGCCCCUAACUCCCUUUUAUUCAGUAGCCAUCAUCACUUUAGGGUUUGGAUUAUGCUUAGAUUCAUUCUGUCAUCAAACAGUAUCACCGUUCAUCGGUUUGUGAGACCCCAUCUCGUAAUCAAGUCUGUUUGAUUGCA